RNAcentral lists this ribosomal RNA (465 nucleotides) under Vreelandella stevensii. Its description in RNAcentral is "partial 16S ribosomal RNA". It matches the Rfam family "Bacterial small subunit ribosomal RNA", at positions 338 to 795 of the family's 1533-position model. The record is from RNAcentral. Lineage: Bacteria; Pseudomonadati; Pseudomonadota; Gammaproteobacteria; Oceanospirillales; Halomonadaceae.
CCUACGGGGGGCUGCAGUGGGGAAUAUUGGACAAUGGGGGCAACCCUGAUCCAGCCAUGCCGCGUGUGUGAAGAAGGCCCUCGGGUUGUAAAGCACUUUCAGUGAGGAAGAACGCCUGGUGGUUAAUACCCAUCAGGAAAGACAUCACUCACAGAAGAAGCACCGGCUAACUCCGUGCCAGCAGCCGCGGUAAUACGGAGGGUGCGAGCGUUAAUCGGAAUUACUGGGCGUGAAGCGCGCGUAGGUGGCUUGAUAAGCCGGUUGUGAAAGCCCCGGGCUCAACCUGGGAACGGCAUCCGGAACUGUCAAGCUAGAGUGCAGGAGAGGAAGGUAGAAUUCCCGGUGUAGCGGUGAAAUGCGUAGAGAUCGGGAGGAAUACCAGUGGCGAAGGCGGCCUUCUGGACUGACACUGACACUGAGGUGCGAAAGCGUGGGUAGCAAACAGGAUUAGAUACCCCAGUAGUC